This 74-nucleotide transfer RNA is filed under the name Candidatus Undinarchaeales archaeon. RNAcentral describes it as "tRNA-Thr". It matches the Rfam family "tRNA". From Rfam's summary of the family: Transfer RNA (tRNA) molecules are approximately 80 nucleotides in length. Lineage: Archaea; Nanobdellati; Candidatus Undinarchaeota; Candidatus Undinarchaeia; Candidatus Undinarchaeales. The record is from RNAcentral.
GCCUCCGUAGCUCAGCUGGUCAGAGCGGCUGAUUCGUAAUCAGCAGGUCGCGCGUUCGAAUCGCGUCGGGGGCU